This is a long non-coding RNA of Salvelinus namaycush (lake trout), 907 nucleotides long. RefSeq lists it as uncharacterized. NCBI's taxonomy places the organism in Eukaryota, Metazoa, Chordata, Actinopteri, Salmoniformes, Salmonidae. The transcript has 3 exons. The record is from RefSeq and is a predicted model, not a curated record.
CCUCCCCUGCUGUGCCCAAACUGACGAUGGCCAAGUGUCGGCGGAACGUGGAGAACUUUCUGGAGGCGUGUCGCAGGAUCGGGGUUCCACAGACCCAGCUGUGCCUGCCCCUCCACAUCCUGGAGGAGAGAGGGCUCCCCCUGGUGGCCGGGACGGUACGUGCGCUCCUGGAGCUGGCCCCGCCCAAAUACACAACCUCCCCUGCCACCACCACUAACCCUCUGGCCAUGUAGGGCAGCAGAGUUCCACACUCACUCAUGGAUGGACAGAUACAGGACCCACCCUCUCGCUCUCCGAAUGUACGUUAUAUGGCUUUCCCUCUCGACCACCCCCCACUUCCCCUCAACCCUAGACCCCCCCCCCCCCUCAACCAUACAGGGUCACCCAGCCUUCCCAGACAGGUCUUCCCCAAUGAAGAGAGAAGAGGGAGCACGAGUACGUCAAAGAAAGGGAUGACUGUCUCUUCCUCUUGUGUCCUCACACAGACUGCUUACGACUUGCAGCCUCUAAAGACUGACGGACGAACAGAUGGACAACCGAGAUUGUCCCAGACAAACAGUCAGUUGGACGGCGAGUAAGAGUGGUUUUUUAUUUUCUAUUAUUAGUCAUUUGACUUCUCUCUCCAUCCUCCUCUUAUCUAUGUUCAGUAGGGGUUGUUUUAUUUUCUAUUAUUAUUUCAUCUUAUUUUUCAUAUUCCUUUUACUUUCACAUGUUAGAUCCUUGCAUGUCAGAGGGGUUGGGUGGGUGUAUGGGGAAGGGUUAGGAGACUAGGAAGUUGUCAGUUGCAUAAGUAACCUUUUAAGGUCAUGUGCUACAAAGAGCAACAAUAACGGUGGUGGUCUGUCAUCAUGGGAACAUUGAUGCUGCCAACACUUAAAAUGGCUGUUAUUAAAUGAACCCGUCUUUU